RNAcentral lists this ribosomal RNA (253 nucleotides) under uncultured bacterium. RNAcentral describes it as "partial 16S ribosomal RNA". It matches the Rfam family "Bacterial small subunit ribosomal RNA", at positions 524 to 776 of the family's 1533-position model. The record is from RNAcentral.
UACGUAGGGUGCGAGCGUUAAUCGGAAUUACUGGGCGUAAAGGGUGCGUAGGCGGUUUGAUAAGUCUGAUGUGAAAUCCCCGGGCUUAACCUGGGAAUGGCAUUUGGGACUGCAAGGCUCGAGUGCGGCAGAGGAGACUGGAAUUCCUGGUGUAGCAGUGAAAUGCGUAGAUAUCAGGAGGAACACCGAUGGCGAAGGCAGGUCUCUGGGCUGACACUGACGCUCAUGCACGAAAGCGUGGGGAGCAAACAGG